CCUACGGGGGGCUGCAGUGGGGAAUAUUGGUCAAUGGGCGCAAGCCUGACCCAGCAACGCCGCGUGAAGGAAGACUGCUUUCGGGUUUUAAACUUCUUUUAAGAGGGAAGCGCAGACGACGUUACCUCUUGAAUCAGCCACGGCUAACUACGUGCCAGCAGCCGCGGUAAUACGUAGGUGGCAAGCGUUGACCGGAUUUACUGGGUGUAAAGGGCGUGUAGCCGGGCUGACAAGUCAGAUGUGACAUUCCGGGGGUCAACCCCGGACCUGCCUUUGAAACUGUUGGUCUUGAGUAUCGGAGAGGCAGGCGGAAUUCGUGGUGUAGCGGUGAAAUGCGUAGAUAUUAGGAGGAACACCAGUGGCGAAGGCGGCAUGCUGGACGACAACUGACGGUGAGGCGCGAAAGCGUGGGGAGCAAACAGGAUUAGAUACCCCAGUAGUC
Molecule: ribosomal RNA, 442 nt
Filed under: uncultured bacterium
Lineage: Bacteria
Description: partial 16S ribosomal RNA
Rfam family: Bacterial small subunit ribosomal RNA
Source: RNAcentral